UGGGUCGGCUGGACGGUCGCGUCACGGGUUCGCCCGUGCCGAGGAACGUCCGGGCUCCACAGGGCAGGACGGUGGGUAACGCCCACCCGGAGCAAUCCGCGAGACAGUGCCACAGAGAGCAGACCGCCCGCGCUUCACGGCGCGGGUAAGGGUGAAAGGGUGGUGUAAGAGACCACCGGGGUCGUGGUGACACGACCCGCACGGUAAACCUCGUCCGGAGCAAGGCCAGACAGGGGAUGUUGACGCGGCUCGCCGAGUCCCCGGGUAGGCCGCUGGAGCGGCACGGCAACGUGUCGCCGAGAGAGAUGACCGUCCACGGGGCGUUCCGCCCCCGGACAGAACCCGGCGUACAGGCCGGCCCAUUCG
This 366-nucleotide RNase P RNA is filed under the name Microbacterium testaceum. Its description in RNAcentral is "bacterial RNase P". It matches the Rfam family "Bacterial RNase P class A". Rfam says of the family: Ribonuclease P (RNase P) is a ubiquitous endoribonuclease, found in archaea, bacteria and eukarya as well as chloroplasts and mitochondria. Its best characterised activity is the generation of mature 5'-ends of tRNAs by cleaving the 5'-leader elements of precursor-tRNAs. The record is from RNAcentral. Lineage: Bacteria; Bacillati; Actinomycetota; Actinomycetes; Micrococcales; Microbacteriaceae.